This 114-nucleotide ribosomal RNA is filed under the name Carlito syrichta (Philippine tarsier). The record is from RNAcentral. Lineage: Eukaryota; Metazoa; Chordata; Mammalia; Primates; Tarsiidae.
GUCUAUGGCCAUGUCACUCUGAAUGCACCCGAUCUCAUCAGAUCUCAGAACCUAAGCAGAGUCAGGUCUGGUUAGUACUUGGAUGGGAGAAGUGUGGGAAAUGGUCCAUAUAUG